RNAcentral lists this ribosomal RNA (850 nucleotides) under uncultured marine archaeon AEGEAN_56. RNAcentral's name for it is "bacterial SSU rRNA". It matches the Rfam family "Archaeal small subunit ribosomal RNA", at positions 26 to 883 of the family's 1478-position model. Lineage: Archaea; Thermoproteati; Thermoproteota. The record is from RNAcentral.
ACUGCUAUCGGAUUGAUACUAAGCCAUGCGAGUCAUUGUAGCAAUACAAGGCAUACGGCUCAGUAACGCGUAGUCAACCUAACCUAUGGACGGGAAUAACCUCGGGAAACUGAGAAUAAUGCCCGAUAGAACAUUAUGCCUGGAAUGGUUUAUGUUCCAAAUGAUUUAUCGCCGUAGGAUGGGACUGCGGCCUAUCAGUUUGUUGGUGAGGUAAUGGCCCACCAAGACUAUUACAGGUACGGGCUCUGAGAGGAGUAGCCCGGAGAUGGGUACUGAGACACGGACCCAGGCCCUAUGGGGCGCAGCAGGCGAGAAAACUUUGCAAUGUGCGAAAGCACGACAAGGUUAAUCCGAGUGGUUUCUGCUAAAGGAACCUUUUGUCAGUCCUAGAAACACUGAUGAAUAAGGGGUGGGCAAGUCUGGUGUCAGCCGCCGCGGUAAAACCAGCACCUCAAGUGGUCAGGAUGAUUAUUGGGCCUAAAGCAUCCGUAGCCGGCUCUGUAAGUUUUCGGUUAAAUCUGUACGCUCAACGUACAGGCUGCCGGGAAUACUGCAGAGCUAGGGAGUGGGAGAGGUAGACGGUACUCGGUAGGAAGGGGUAAAAUCCUUUGAUCUAUUGAUGACCACCUGUGGCGAAGGCGGUCUACCAGAACACGUCCGACGGUGAGGGAUGAAAGCUGGGGGAGCAAACCGGAUUAGAUACCCGGGUAGUCCCAGCUGUAAACUAUGCAAACUCAGUGAUGCAUUGGCUUGUGGCCAAUGCAGUGCUGCAGGGAAGCCGUUAAGUUUGCCGCCUGGGAAGUACGUACGCAAGUAUGAAACUUAAAGGAAUUGGCGGGGGAGCACCACA